RNAcentral lists this microRNA precursor (271 nucleotides) under Marmota monax (woodchuck). Lineage: Eukaryota; Metazoa; Chordata; Mammalia; Rodentia; Sciuridae. The record is from RNAcentral.
GAGAGAGAGAGAGAGAGAGAGAGAGAGAGAGAGAGAGAGAGAUGGUUUGGAUGUGAGGUGUCCCCAAAAGCUCAUGGGUAAGACAAUGCAAGAAAUCUUAGAGAUGAAAUAAUUGGGUUAUGAGAACCUAAACCUAAUCAGUGCUUUAAUACCCUGAUAGGGAUUAAUGCAGGAGGUGAGUCCCUGGGGGUAUGCCUUUGGGGUUUAUAUUUUGUCCUUAUUUCUCUCUCUCUCUCUCUCUCUCUCUCUCUCUCCCCCCCCCCCCCCCCCC